GAGGGGGCAAAUUUUCCAUUUUGGUUUUAUUUUUCUAAAUUUUUUACUUGUAAAUGAAUUUUCUUUUUUUUCUUUUUUGGAAACUUGAAGGUCACACAUGUCCUUGGAGCCUUAGUUAACUCUGAUGCUAAGUGUUCUAUGAAAAAAUUAAUUAAUCACUUAAGGUGUGCUUGGUAAAACUUAAUACUUAUUAUUUAGUGACUUAAGUUAAAUUAUAAUUAAGUUAUUGGUCUAAAACUUAUUACUUAAUUUGUACUUUUAAGUCUUAAGGUUGUU
This 276-nucleotide long non-coding RNA is filed under the name Vitis vinifera (wine grape). Its description in RNAcentral is "long non-coding RNA (VVIN_LNC002904)". The record is from RNAcentral. Lineage: Eukaryota; Viridiplantae; Streptophyta; Magnoliopsida; Vitales; Vitaceae.